AACCCUAAAAAAGAUAGUCACUACUCAUUUCUUCAAAACCUCAAAACCCCAGACCCCUGGCAGCUGAGCUUCUGAAUCGAAAAGCCAUGGCCGCCAUAGCAGCUAGAUUAGCCGUCCGAUCUGCCCGGAGCUCUGCCUCGAGAUUCGCGUCCGGCAUAAAACCCAAAUCAGCCCCUUCCCCCUUUCGCUUACCCUCCCUUAAACCCCCUUCUCCUCCUCGCAUUUUAAGGUCGCCAGUUGAGAUGAGCUUUGCUUUGGAAUCGAUGCUUCCGUUUCAUACCGCCACUUCUUCUGCAUUGCUCACUUCCAUGCUCUCUGUUUCUCCUCGCACCCUUGGUUGGACUAUUGAAGAUUUAUAGCUUGGGCAGGAUAGCACAUCUGGUAAACAACAAUUAAGAUUGCAACGAUGAUGUAUGAUGAAGGAUGAAGGGUUCGGGCAAAGUUGUUCCUGAUAUUGCAUGCUGCCAAGCUAAAGUGUCUUACGAAAGAAACUUAAAUAGAUGGAUGACGAUUUAUUUACUGCGAGUUGGUGCAUUGGUCGUAGCCCCCUCAUGUUAAAGACACUAUAGAACUACAGGCACGUGUUUGUGUUUGGAAUUCUUUGUUUAAAUGUAUACUUUAGAUGAAAUAAUCAAGAAUCUCUCUUUUGUUGGCAAUGAUUUUAAAAUUACUUUCUGGGUU
Daucus carota subsp. sativus is the source of this 681-nucleotide RNA transcript. It is a transcript of the gene named protein NUCLEAR FUSION DEFECTIVE 6, mitochondrial-like, with no coding region annotated. The transcript is spliced from 6 exons. Lineage: Eukaryota; Viridiplantae; Streptophyta; Magnoliopsida; Apiales; Apiaceae. The record is from RefSeq and is a predicted model, not a curated record.